CAGUCGCCGCGGUAAUACGUAGGGUGCGAGCGUUAAUCGGAAUUACUGGGCGUAAAGCGUGCGCAGGCGGUUUUGUAAGACAGGCGUGAAAUCCCCGGGCUCAACCUGGGAAUGGCGCUUGUGACUGCAAAGCUAGAGUGCGGCAGAGGGGGAUGGAAUUCCGCGUGUAGCAGUGAAAUGCGUAGAUAUGCGGAGGAACACCGAUGGCGAAGGCAAUCCCCUGGGCCUGCACUGACGCUCAUGCACGAAAGCGUGGGGAGCAAACAGGAUUAGAGACCCCUGUAGUCCCUGUCUCUUAUAC
Molecule: ribosomal RNA, 301 nt
Filed under: uncultured bacterium
Lineage: Bacteria
Description: partial 16S ribosomal RNA
Rfam family: Bacterial small subunit ribosomal RNA
Source: RNAcentral